GAUGAACGCUGGCGGCGUGCCUAAUACAUGCAAGUCGAGCGAACAGACGAGGAGCUUGCUCCUCUGACGUUAGCGGCGGACGGGUGAGUAACACGUGGAUAACCUACCUAUAAGACUGGGAUAACUUCGGGAAACCGGAGCUAAUACCGGAUAAUAUAUUGAACCGCAUGGUUCAAUAGUGAAAGACGGUUUUGCUGUCACUUAUAGAUGGAUCCGCGCCGCAUUAGCUAGUUGGUAAGGUAACGGCUUACCAAGGCAACGAUGCGUAGCCGACCUGAGAGGGGGGUCGCCCACCCUGGAAGGGAGACAGCGACCAGCCUCCUGCGGGAGGGAGCAGAGGGCAAUCUGCGGCAGGGGGGGAGAGCCUGACGGAACAGCGCGGAGUGAGUGAUAAAGGUUUUGGGAUCGUAAACCUCUUUUAUGGGGGAAAAAAAAAUGUGAAAGUAACUGUACCCUUCUUGACGGUACCUAAUAAAAAAGCCCCGGCUAACUACGUG
This 497-nucleotide ribosomal RNA is filed under the name uncultured bacterium. RNAcentral's name for it is "partial 16S ribosomal RNA". It matches the Rfam family "Bacterial small subunit ribosomal RNA", at positions 28 to 507 of the family's 1533-position model. The record is from RNAcentral.